UCUUCAAGCGUCAGAGGCAAAAGGCCCCGUACUGUAACUGUGGGUCAUGGGACCUUGCGUUAUUUCAUUGGCCACCCAGUACUGAUGCUGUCAUUCUUCUGUGGUGUGGCAAACAGCCAGGUCCCGUCAUAAUCACCUUUUCCACACUGCUCACUGCCAUUUCCCUCAGGGGACAAAGGAGGUUAGCACAACAAAGAGACUCCUCUCAAAACAGAGUAGCAAAUGCCACAGGUCAGGAGUUCACUAUUUAAAGCUCCUGCUUUUCUACGGCAUUACCUCAAUGGUCUGGGCAUCCCUACUGCUGCUUUAGAAGGAAAAGAGAGAUUAUAUUCAGACUCAAGCCCGACAGCCGAACCAAUCUCUACCAGCCAAUGACAGAUCCGGACAGAGCCCCUGCAAAUGAUAUCGCCUACCCUGCAGAUAGCUGGAGGAGGAGGAGGAGGAAGAGGAUGGGAGCUCAUCCAUCAUGAGGAUGAAGUCUUGCUUUAAAAAAUCUGGAUGUCAGCAAAAAUCAAUUCCUGCUUGCCAACUGUCUCAAAAGCAAGUUUGUUGUCCCUUACUCCCACGGGUGGAUUCCAGUCCCAGCUGAUGAGAACUCUGUGAACAAUAACC
This 612-nucleotide long non-coding RNA is filed under the name Gallus gallus (chicken). RNAcentral's name for it is "long non-coding RNA NONGGAT009271". The record is from RNAcentral. Lineage: Eukaryota; Metazoa; Chordata; Aves; Galliformes; Phasianidae.